Molecule: non-coding RNA, 73 nt
Organism: Podarcis lilfordi (Lilford's wall lizard)
Lineage: Eukaryota; Metazoa; Chordata; Lepidosauria; Squamata; Lacertidae
Source: the annotation of a GenBank genome assembly
GCAAAAAAGCUCAGUCAGUAGGGCUAUGAGGCUCUUAAUCUCAGGGUCGUGGGUUUGAGCCCCACAUUGGGCA